UGCUCAUAUCCCACAGUUUCACCUUAUAGUUUUCGGACAACCUGGUCUUGAUUUUCAGUGGGCAUUUAAUGGCGUUCAUAUAAUUCACAAUGCUUCUUUCCAUUAGUAGAAUCAACCAAGGGUUGAUUGUGUCUCCUCCCCAAAGCUGCUCACAUUGGCAGUUUUUCUAUCUUCCUUGCUUCAAGGGCCUCACACUGCUCAUGAUUAAUCACUGUCUUUUAACAUUUUCAAUAACAGGACUACUUCCUCAGCCCUGGAAACUAUAGAGAAGGCUAUCAUCCCUUACUGCACACAUGAAAAGUGAGCAAACACAUCAUCAUGGAUAAGGUGUGUCUGACAGAUGGGAAAGCCACCAAGUUAUCGGAGAACGCUUGCCUGUCUGUCCUCCAACAGUUUUUGGAACUCCUGCCCAGACAGCCAGAUGCUGCAGAAACAGGACCACUGUGAAGAAGCCUUGGGAGAAACACAGGGAUAUGCUGUCUACAUCUGGUUUUCUCAACAACCACAAGAAAGCAUUGGGUUUGCUGAUUAAUUGUUUCUAGUUGCCUAUUUUGAUUGACCCAGUAGAACUCUGUAUUAGCAUGUGUCUUCAGGUAGACCAAUAAAAUUCAUGCCACAAUUGGCAGCUUCUA
Molecule: long non-coding RNA, 632 nt
Organism: Peromyscus eremicus (cactus mouse)
Lineage: Eukaryota; Metazoa; Chordata; Mammalia; Rodentia; Cricetidae
Exons: 3
Source: RefSeq, a predicted model, not a curated record